This 365-nucleotide ribosomal RNA is filed under the name uncultured eukaryote. RNAcentral describes it as "partial 18S ribosomal RNA". It matches the Rfam family "Eukaryotic small subunit ribosomal RNA", at positions 592 to 975 of the family's 1831-position model. The record is from RNAcentral.
CAAUAGCGUAUAUUAACGUUGUUGCAGUUAAAAAGCUCGUAGUUGGAUUUCUGGAGGGAGCGUCGGCCCGUAUUUACGAGUGCGUGACGUCUCUGUCCAUCCUUGCGGGAAGGCACGGCAUUGAUUUGUUGUGUCGGAUCGCAUCAUUUACUGUGAAAAAAUUAGAGUGUUCAAAGCAGGCUUUCGCUUGAAUACAUUAGCAUGGAAUAAUAAGAUAGGACUUUGGUGCUGUUUUGUUGGUUGAGCCUAAAGUAAUGAUUAAUAGGGAUAGUUGGGGGCACCUGUAUUGCGUUGUCAGAGGUGAAAUUCUUGGAUUUACGCAAGACAAACAGCUGCGAAAGCGUCUGCCAAGGAUGUUUUCAUUA